AUUGAACGCUGGCGGCAGGCCUAACACAUGCAAGUCGAGCGGAUGAAGGGAGCUUGCUCCUGGAUUCAGCGGCGGACGGGUGAGUAAUGCCUAGGAAUCUGCCUGGUUGUGGGGGAUAACGUCCGGAAACGGGCGCUAAUACCGCAUACGUCCUGCGGCAGAAAGUUGGGGAUCUUCGGACCUCACGCUCUCAGAUGAGCCUAGGUCGGAUUAGCUAGUUGGUGGGGUAAAGGCCUACCAAGGCGACGAUCCGUAACUGGUCUGAGAGGAUGAUAAGUCACACUGGAGCUGAGACACGGUCAAGACUCCUAAGGGAGGCAGCAGUGGGGAAUAUUGGACAGUGGGCGAAAGCAUGAUCCAGCCAGGGCGCGUGUGUGAAGAAGGUCUUCGGAUUGUAAAGAACUUUAAGUGGGGAGGAAGGGCAGUAAGUUAAGACCUUGCUGGUGUGACGUUACCAACAGAAUAAGCACCGGCUAACUACGUG
This 484-nucleotide ribosomal RNA is filed under the name uncultured bacterium. RNAcentral describes it as "partial 16S ribosomal RNA". It matches the Rfam family "Bacterial small subunit ribosomal RNA", at positions 30 to 507 of the family's 1533-position model. The record is from RNAcentral.